GAUCAGCUCCGCGAGGUACUUCUCUGCAGUAAUUUCAAGUGUCUCAUCAGCCUUUUCUUUCACAAACCCUUCGGCAAUCCAUAACCGAACUAAUUUCUUUCGGGAGAUCUGUGACUUAUAUGGGAUUACAGAGAGCAGCAUAAAACAUGGCUUCAAAGGGUGUGGGAGGUCCCUAUAACUUGAUAGCAGUGUCUGCUGAAUUCCCAUUUGACCAUUGCUUAGAUCCUUCUGAAUGCUUGCCAGGACACUUUUCCACUCAGUAUCUGUUUGUUCUUUCCCGGACAUCAUACUCCCUGCAGCAACAAUAGCAAGAGGCAAACCAACACAUUUCUUCACAAUGUCCUCAGCAGUUUCCUUUACAGCGUCCGGACAUAUUCCAUCCUGCAAGAAUGCCUUUUUGCAAAACAAAUUCCAGGAAUCUUCAAAUGGCAAUGGCUGAAGCUGCUGUACAGUGCUCUUUGCGCCUUCAACUGAGCCAGCCACAGCGGCAUUACGAGUUGUCACAAGCACUCGGCUUCCGCUGCAAUUUCUGGGCAGUACUAGCUUGAUGAUAUCCCACAACCCUCUGUCCCAGACAUCAUCAAACACAAGCAGAAACUUUUUACAGCCAAGGCCACUCAAGAGCAAUUCUUGGAGCCGCUUCUCGCAGAGGGAGCUCGCCUCUGCAGAGGGGAUCCUCAUCAGCCCCUUGACCAUCUCACAGAGGAUAGAGCGCAGCUCCAUCGUUUUCGACACAUAGAUCCACGCACAGCAUUCGAAAUGCUUCUUCACGUCUGGGUUGGUGUACGCCUUCUUGGCAAGUGUGGUCUUCCCAACACCUCCCAUGCCAACCAAGGAUAUGACACUUAGCUCCGACUCCAAACCUCCAUCCAAGAUAUGCCGAAGCAACACAUCCAGAUAUUUAUCCAGGCCUACAACAUCUAUGUCAUGAACCAUCGGAGAUGAGGCUAAAAGACCAUGGAUCCACUUAUCACUUGAUUCUCUAGGUCUUUCAACUGCAUACUCCAGUCGGCGACGGGAGAUGUCACUCAGCUGAGCCCGGAUGCGCCUGAUCCGAGCCCCGACGUCAUGCCUCGAUCUCAGCUUACCAAGAACACAGCAGCCUUGUACUUGGCUGGCGUCGAAGAUGUCGAUGGCGUCCUCCGAGUCGGACAUGAUGUCCCUCAUCUGGUCAAUCCAUGCUUCUCUGGCGACGCCGCCCUCAAUGCUGCAAACCUCCAUCUCGUGAAGGAAGAGCUGCAUGCUGUGGAGCUCAUCACGGAGCCAUCCGACAUCACGACUUACGGACCAGAGGCGCCGGCCAUGGUCGGUUGCUCUGCUGCUAAGCAGGGAGCCUAAGACAUGGAUCAAAGAAGCAAGCACGGGUUCGGCCAUGGAAAUGCUGGUCUUCCUUUCUGUUGUUGGAGAAGGAAGGGGGAAGCUCGGUAGUCGCUACCAAUUUUCUGGUAGGAAGUCGAGGUCAAUGGGCAGUGCUGUACCACUGAUUAGAAGAUACUUUCAACCACUUGAUGCCCAACUGAGAUCCUUGGGCCCACUGGCAGUUCCUCUGCAAUCUGGGUCAACUAUUCCUGAUCAACCGUGCAUAAUUUCCCAGAAGCUAGAUGCAUAAAACGAUGCUUGACCAACUGGACAAAUCUUAAGCCAACAAAUGAGCAGCCCGCGACCCGGAGCUUGAUAGGAUCCAUAUGUUCCCCUAUUCGUAAAGAAAGUAAAAAAGCAAAACACAGUAAACAGUUUCACAUCCUUGCUACAUGAAGUCACAUUUCAGUUCAGUUAAGACCUACUAGGUGGCAGAACGGUGCUGCUUUUUUUCUGGGGAAACAUAUGUGCUUACUGACUUUAACGAUGCUCUUUUGCAGGAUAUUUUCUUGGAUGUUUCAACUAUGAAGCACUGGAGAAGCUUAUGGGCCUUAGUGAUCUGGCUGCAAGGCACUCACUAAUGCACAAGGGAUUUCGCUCACUCGGCCUGUCAGCGGCUGAAAGCUUGUUUCCACAUUGAGCCUUGGGUUGUGCUUUGUGAUCUUUGUCAGGGCCUCGAAGUUGGUGCUAAUGGACGGAUCACGGAUGAUAACUCAUAUACCAACUUCACUCCAAUAAAUUUUCAAGUAGCUCGAAUACUCCAUACCGAGCAGCUCUCCUAGCGUAAUUCUCACCUCUUGCGAUUUUUUAUGUGUAGGUGUAUCAUGUCCGAGGUUGCAUCAGGAUUCAGGACCAGACACUGAAGACAUCUAACAAGAUUGUCCUCGUCCUUCUGCUCACCAGUCACGCUGCUGCCAUCCGUUCGAGUUCAGACCAUUCUCUGUCAGCUCCAACACUUGGAGUUAAGAUCUUAGGCUCUUAGUCAUCAAUCACAGCAACCAACCAUCCUAGUGCAGCAUCGAACAUCUAGCAUAACAACGCCAUUACGUACGUACAUAGUGGGGAUCACACCACGAGGGGGAGCACCCCCUUUCGCCCCUUUCCUUUCUGUUCGCUUACGACGGAACCGCAUUACGUCUGGAUGCAUUGCAGCAUUGUACGCAUCGAGUUAACGUCUUGUUCUUGGCUCAUCAGAUUUGGAAGGCCCCCAUCGAUCUCAUCCGUGCCCCUCCUGUGGCUCCUGGAGAUGCCAAACAGCCAACCGUGUAAGUGGAAUGCGCGGCUGGCCGGCAAGCAUGCAAUGCAAUGCAACGCACGUAGCGUACGUGCGUCAAAGACUGGUGAAAAGAUGAGACCCGCCCCCGUCCGCACGGUGCGAUUAUGUUCUUCUGAAUGGCACAUCGGCGGCCGGAGGACCACCGGCGCGCCGAGGUGGAGGAGGAUGAACCUGGCCGCGUUCGUGCGUGUGCUGAGCCACAGUUUGCUGCCAAAGUCGUCCUUGUCGGGCACCACAUUGCGUGGCUUUUGACAUUUAUGUGUCACCCUCCCAUUAUUCCCCUCCAAUGGUGGACACGCAGCAUAGGCUCGGGAGCGGGCCAUGCCAUGUUUCCCUUGGAGCCGGGCGUGUCUCCGUGUGCCACUUGCGACAGUAGCCCGGCGGACAUCUGUCUCCGCGGCCCACGGAUUUUGUAAUGUCACUAGCUGAUUGAUUGACCAACAGACCAAGUGAUACGUUGCAUCAACACGUCGGCCGGUGAGCUUCGAAAUGCUGUACACAAAGGAUCAUUAUCUCGGGAAGUUCUGUACUUCUCUACUUCUGCAAGAGUUAUGUAGUACAGCUUUGCUUACUUGCUAAGACAGGUAGUACAGUUUAGUCUGGUGCAUGCACAAUAUGCAGGCAUUAUUACAUCGUCGUGUUAAUUACGUCAUCUGUACAAAGCAAACGAAUAUAGCUACGCCAUAUGCAUUCUGCCACUUGUUCGCUUAUUCCCAUUUUCCAACUUGUGGCUGCGUGGUAGCUCUGCUUGUUGGAGCAUACAGAGAAG
Molecule: long non-coding RNA, 3404 nt
Filed under: Triticum aestivum (bread wheat)
Lineage: Eukaryota; Viridiplantae; Streptophyta; Magnoliopsida; Poales; Poaceae
Description: long non-coding RNA (TAES_LNC000458)
Source: RNAcentral